UACGGAGGGUGCAAGCGUUAAUCGGAUUUAUUGGGCGUAAAGAGCACGUAGGCGGCGCAGUAAGUCAGAUGUGAAAUUUCGGGGCUUAACCCCGGAGCUGCCUUUGAAACUACUGUGCUAGAGGUUAGGCGGAGAAAGAGGAAUUCCAAGUGUAGCGGUGAAAUGCGUAGAUAUUUGGAAGAACACCUGUGGCGAAAGCGUCUUUCUAGCUUAUACCUGACGCUGAGGUGCGAGAGCAAGGGGAGCAAACAGG
RNAcentral lists this unclassified non-coding RNA (253 nucleotides) under uncultured Chlamydiales bacterium. RNAcentral describes it as "contains 16S-23S intergenic spacer region". It matches the Rfam family "Bacterial small subunit ribosomal RNA", at positions 524 to 776 of the family's 1533-position model. The record is from RNAcentral. Lineage: Bacteria; Pseudomonadati; Chlamydiota; Chlamydiia; Chlamydiales.